This 448-nucleotide ribosomal RNA is filed under the name Streptococcus mitis. Its description in RNAcentral is "bacterial SSU rRNA". It matches the Rfam family "Bacterial small subunit ribosomal RNA", at positions 28 to 464 of the family's 1533-position model. The record is from RNAcentral. Lineage: Bacteria; Bacillati; Bacillota; Bacilli; Lactobacillales; Streptococcaceae.
GACGAACGCUGGCGGCGUGCCUAAUACAUGCAAGUAGAACGCUGAAGGAGGAGCUUGCUUCUCUGGAUGAGUUGCGAACGGGUGAGUAACGCGUAGGUAACCUGCCUGGUAGCGGGGGAUAACUAUUGGAAACGAUAGCUAAUACCGCAUAAUAGUAGAUGUUGCAUGACAUUUGCUUAAAAGGUGCAAUUGCAUCACUACCAGAUGGACCUGCGUUGUAUUAGCUAGUUGGUGAGGUAACGGCUCACCAAGGCAACGAUACAUAGCCGACCUGAGAGGGUGAUCGGCCACACUGGGACUGAGACACGGCCCAGACUCCUACGGGAGGCAGCAGUAGGGAAUCUUCGGCAAUGGACGGAAGUCUGACCGAGCAACGCCGCGUGAGUGAAGAAGGUUUUCGGAUCGUAAAGCUCUGUUGUAAGAGAAGAACGAGUGUGAGAGUGGAAAG